Molecule: unclassified non-coding RNA, 860 nt
Filed under: Schistocerca americana (American grasshopper)
Lineage: Eukaryota; Metazoa; Arthropoda; Insecta; Orthoptera; Acrididae
Description: mICOS complex subunit MIC27, transcript variant X1
Source: RNAcentral
GUAACUUCAUCGCUCACAACUUUGUAUGGAGUGAGAGAACGGAGAAGUGGUCGUAGUGAAGUUGUAAACAGUGGUAGGGAAUGAUUCGAUUUCAGAUUUUGAAGAAGUUUGUCAUACCCACUUCUUUAGGUGCGGCUGUAAUAAAGUCUGAAAGUGGCAAAGACAGUACAGAAGCUAAACCAUGUCGUCCGAGCGAACUGCCACUUUAUGAGGAUGACAGCUGUGGAUGCAGGCCGAAGAGAAAGGGCGGUGCACAUUUAGGAGCUCUAGAACAGCAAACUUCAAGUGCUUUGGAAGAACAAAUACGUGUGAUCCGGAAGGAGCUGUGGGUCUGGCACGAUCAGUACAAAGGAUAUAGAGACAAACUAGUGGAAAAAAUUGAGGUUGCGAAAGCUCAUAGUGAAUCGACUUUGGCAUUUCUGAAGGAGGAGGGGAACUAUUUGCCACGCAUUGGUGCCAUCAGUUUAGGAGGCCUUACGGGUGUCAUAUUUGGCCUGCGAGGUGGUUGGUUCCGGAGGCUGACAUAUGGUGCUGCUGGGUCGUUGGCAAUGUCUGCUUUGUGCUACCCUCGGCAAGCGUCAGAAGUGUCGCAAGAAGCCCUAACCUAUGCAAAGAAAUAUGUUGCCGUUACGUAUAAUUUUAUUUAUGGAGGUCACGUGCCAUCACUGAUUGCCUCUUGACAGGAUUUCUGUGAAUGAGUGAUGGAUGUCCAAGCCUCUGAUGAUCUUCAGCAGGCCCAGUUUUACUGUACCUCUUGAUCGUCAGUUAAACCAGAAAAUACACAAUCAUCAAAUCCCAUGGCCGGUGACUUGAAGCAUUCUUCAGAUGCCCCACCAGUAACAGCUCAGAAAGAUACUCAG